GACGAACUGCCCAAACGUUGUUCGGAAUCACUGGGCUUAAAGGGCGCGUAGGCGGCAGAUCAAGUCAGGGGUGAAAUCCGGCAGCUCAACUGUCGAAGUGCCUUUGAUACUGAUUUGCUCGAGGGAUAUAGGGGUCUGUGGAACUUCUGGUGGAGCGGUGAAAUGCGUUGAUAUCAGAAGGAACGCCGGUGGCGAAAGCGACGGACUGGAUAUCAUCUGACGCUGAGGCGCGAAAGCUAGGGGAGCAAACGGG
This 253-nucleotide ribosomal RNA is filed under the name uncultured bacterium. RNAcentral describes it as "partial 16S ribosomal RNA". It matches the Rfam family "Bacterial small subunit ribosomal RNA", at positions 524 to 776 of the family's 1533-position model. The record is from RNAcentral.